This 686-nucleotide long non-coding RNA is filed under the name Marmota monax (woodchuck). The record is from RNAcentral. Lineage: Eukaryota; Metazoa; Chordata; Mammalia; Rodentia; Sciuridae.
AAAUUGGUUUGGAAAAUUAUCUGUGAUAAAUAUCAUGUCCUAAAUCUAAAGAAAGAGGUGUAAUAUUUUUAAUAGUGUAACAUGAAAUUGUUCCCAAACAUCUAACCGAACGUUGAACAAACAAUAAAGCAAAUAGCUAUGGUGUGCUUACAAAGUACCAGGGGCUUUAAGUAUGUCCUUGUUUAUCUGACCCACAACAAUGCUAUGAAUCAUUUUAUAGAGAAGAAAAUUGAGCUAUAGAAGAGACAAAUAACCUAACUUCAAGAGCCAGAUAAGUAACCUGUCUUUUAAGAGUCAGAACUGGAAUGCCAACCCGGGCAGCAGGACACCAAUGUUCUAGUUCUUAACCACUCUGCUAUUCUGUUUCCUGCUACUAAAAUAACCACAAAAAUGACAACAAAACAUGGGCUUCAAGAGGUGUCAAAUUGUCAGCCUGUCUGUGUGUAUUGCUUGGUCUGGUUCUACGAGGCAGAAAUGCCCCAGCAGAAUCUUGGUGCAGUGACACCAUCUGGAACGAUGUUAAUAUUCUUCAGGCGAAGUGUGCAGGAUGGAGAGACUCAAGCAGAGGACAGUGGUGGUCUCAAGUGGACCCAUAGCCACUCCCAAAGAGGGUGUCCUGAAGAAUGCUGUGUCAGGGUGAGGAAGGGUGAGAACCUUUUCUGGGACAAGAAAAGUACCUUUCUCAU